CCGAACUGUCAGCACAGAGCCUGAUGUGAGGCUCAAACCCACGAACGGUGAGAUCAUGACCUGAGCUGAAGUCAGACACUCAACCCAUUGAGCCUCCCGGGCGUCCCUGGAGGAAGACAGAGUUUAAGGGGAGUGACAUCCAGGUCACAGAGUUGGAGAAGCCUCCAGGAAGUGCCAGGAUAGGGGAUUAGGAGAGCCAGCUUGGGAAAAGUUGAGUGGCCCAGAGCAGAACGGGAACGGCGGAAGACGGCCGUGGUCCACGCACACCAGCUCAGUUGCUCCCACAACCACACCGCCCCGGGUUACCCCCAUUGUCAGGGAAGGGAAAAGACACAGGACUUGAGUAACUUGGCCAAGGUCAACAGCAAGCUGAGGGAGCAGCCAGGGCUUGAAAGGGAUAUUCGCAUUCUGCCCCCUGUCCGCUGCCGGCCCAGAAGAUCCAAGCCUUCGGGAUCAUCCGUCCCUCCGGUCCCCGGCCCUAGGGCUCCCCACGUGGACACCC
This is a long non-coding RNA of Leopardus geoffroyi (Geoffroy's cat), 502 nucleotides long. RefSeq lists it as uncharacterized. The record is from RefSeq and is a predicted model, not a curated record. NCBI's taxonomy places the organism in Eukaryota, Metazoa, Chordata, Mammalia, Carnivora, Felidae. The transcript is spliced from 3 exons.